UGCGCCUUCCCACACUUACCAAAUCGUCGCUCGCAGGUCGUUGUUCAUUCGCAACCCUGCCCAUCGAUAAUUCAUUUGUUCGCAGCCCCUACCAUCGAUCAAAAUCAUCUCGCACCCACCGAUUUUUUGGUAGCGCAUGCCCUAUGCCGGUAUUUUCUGAUUUGUUUCUAUUGCUCACCCUUUGAGAUCGAUCUCCUUCCCGAUUCAUCCUGGAAAACAAAUCCUACCGAUUAUGAGUUUUAUUUCCAUUCUUUUCAAACCGAGCCCCACCCGAUCUGAAUCUAGACAAGGGGUUUUCCCUCCCUUCCAAGUUCAAACCCAUCACGUCUGUUCUGCCAGCCAUGGAAGAGAGGUCGGGGAGGGGAGCGUGGUGGCAUGUGGACCAACAAGCAGGAAAAGGACAUGCCGAUGCAGGCAGUGGCUCCUCUACCGCUCACCACGACCCCACUGCUGGUCGUGUGCUGGUUCUCCAUCCACCCCCACCUCCAACUCGAUCUUCGGUUGUCGCUAAUAGCUAGUCUGCGACCGUUCUGUGGGCCUACAGUGGUGCUGAUCCAAGAUGAUGUUGCCUUGCCCUUGAGCACGCCGCCGCGGAUGGCAGCGGCGCACAAUCAUCCGUUUCCGUGAGCCUGCCUCCACCGUGGUCGUGAUGGCCAUGCCCCAGUUGCGCUCAAGGCCCUCGCCUGCACACCUCUCACGAAAGUUCUCCGCUGCCGCCCUACCCGAUGCACACCAUGUCGGAUCCUUCCUAUGGCCUGUGCCCCUGCCCACGCACUACCCAGGCAUGCGGGCCAUAGCAAGGGCCCGUCCGAUACACACACAUCACAGUCCACCAAAGAAUCGUUGCCCCGAGCAAAGGUGGGUUCGGUGGCGCCGGUGGAGGAAGAAUUGUCAAUGAGAACCUGGACUUAGAUGCAGGGUCAUCGAAGAGAAGGACAACACCCCAGCCUUCAUACACAUGAUGGAACACACAUUGCCGACGAUGCGGUACCAGGCCUACGGAAGAGAUCCUGAGGUAUGUAUGAAGCCUUCAGAGCUUUUUAGUUGAGCGACUGCAUAACUGAAGAAUUUUGUGUGUGUAGUCUUUCAAAGUUGAUUUAGACACCUUAGAAUUCAAGAUCAUGGUUGUCUGAUCUUUUCAAAAUUAUAUCAAUUAUUGUACUGUUUUCGGAUUGAUGAUGAGAGAUGUAGAUUUCUGAGAUUAGUUGCAAUGAAAUUUGGUUCAGUAAUUCAAUGCUUAGACAUACAAGAUGCUAUACUAGAGCUCAGGAUAAAAAAGUUUGGUCACUUUGUUUCAUUCUAUAAUGCCCGCCGCAGUACUGCAUUAGCACUAUCUUCAAAGAUGCGUUCCCAGAUGUUGUUAGGGAUUUCUUCUGGGGAUGAUGACUUAUGGAUCAAGAACACUUGCGACGAUAUGCUUCUGCAGCGUGAGACAUUGAAUGUGUGCAUAAAGACUAGAACGAUAGUUGUUUGCUGGGUCAGGAAGGUGAGGUAUCUGCGUGAUAUCCCUCGCAAUCUUUGUGAAAAAGCAUGACACUACUUGCCUUGCAUGUGUUCUGCAAUGACAAGGAGUAUGCUAUCGGCCACAGGGUAUGGGCUUCUGGAAAGACGUACUAGUGCGCUAAUAAGGUAUGUGAUGAAAUAGUACAACUUUGUCUGAUAGAAAGCUACUAUUAUUGGAGUAUACACAUUCACAUGAUUGCUUUUACAACCAUUUUUAGGGUACCUUUACGUAUGUACUUGAGAUGGAAACUCUUUCUGUUUGUUUAAUGUUCCCAUUUGCAAAUUUUCAUCAUGUGAUUGCUUUUACAGUCAUUGCCGCUUUGUCCAUAUUUGGUUAAGAUGCACUACAUUCUAUAUCUUUCUACGCCAAGCAUAUUUCUCUUUUCUAUCUGUAGUUCCUCGCAUACAUAAGCAAAUGACAAUGCAUAUUAUGUUCCCUCUCCCUCUAUAUAUCUCCAAAUUCGUGGUAGCAAGAAUCACUACGUACUGACCACAUCGUCAAUAUGAAUUUAGACCUAUAUGAUGGAAUCAAUAAGACAACAUAGCUUUCAUUCUUAUAAAGGAGGUCAGUUCCAUUCAAACCAUUUAGCUAUGUGCAGUUAAAUUGUCAAUCAUCUAUUAGAUGCUUUUUACAUCAAAAGGGGUGAUUUCACCCAACUUUUUACAUGUGGUCACCGUCAUAGAUAAUAUAAAAUAUUUGCAGUUCAAACUGACGUCAAGAAUAUAGAUCCUUUGAAAGUUAAGCUUGGUUACCAUGCGUACAACUGGUGACUGAUCGUACAAGCAUUGCGGCCAUUGAUUCUUGCUUUCAUUUAGGUUAAUUAGCACUAGAAUCAUUAGUAUCGACACAAAUGCAAACAGAGUCAUUAGUAUCUUCUAACGGCUAGCAUUGACUUGAUUAAUUUGAUGUGUUGCCACCAUCACAGGCCAGCAGCCCGGGGCGCAAUGAUGUGCCUGUGAACUCGCCGCUGUCCGUGCAUAUCGGGCAUCCAAGCGUGCCCAGUAGUCACAUGGUCGCCCCGCAGAUGAAAAAAUCAGUUUUUGCAGAUAUUAUGAGGCCGAGUUGGGCGUUGAACCAGCAGUCCACGGUGGCGAGGAACCUGGUUACGAUAGGGUUGCGUAUCAUCGAGCCCGGCACUGAGCAUGUGCAUGGCCCAGCCUUCUGCUGACGGCAAUGCGGCUCCCUGUUUAUUAUUGACGUGAGAUUAUGUGGGAUGUAGGAUGUCCGCUUGUCCCAUCAAAAAUUAUGUGGACACAUAUGGGCCUCCCACUUAUAUUAUGCAGCAGAUGUAGUUGUGGAUGUGGAUUGGGGUUAGUUUGUUGAGUUACAGUUGUCUGAGCGAAAUAAUUUUCCUACUUUAGAAAAUAUGGCAAAUAGUGUUGCAUUAGAGAUGGCUUUGUAACAAAUUGCAUGAGUAGUUUAUAUUUUUUCCAUCAAGUCGUACAAUUUUUUGGUUAGGUUCGAAGGGUAAAUGCAUUGGUUGGUUGCUUCAAGACUUGAUA
Molecule: long non-coding RNA, 3006 nt
Organism: Triticum aestivum (bread wheat)
Lineage: Eukaryota; Viridiplantae; Streptophyta; Magnoliopsida; Poales; Poaceae
Exons: 3
Source: RefSeq, a predicted model, not a curated record